AUGCAGUCGAGCGGACAGAUGGGAGCUUGCUCCCUGAUGUCAGCGGCGGACGGGUGAGUAACACGUGGGUAACCUGCCUGUAAGACUGGGAUAACUCCGGGAAACCGGGGCUAAUACCGGAUGCUUGAUUGAACCGCAUGGUUCAAUUAUAAAAGGUGGCUUUUAGCUACCACUUACAGAUGGACCCGCGGCGCAUUAGCUAGUUGGUGAGGUAACGGCUCACCAAGGCAACGAUGCGUAGCCGACCUGAGAGGGUGAUCGGCCACACUGGGACUGAGACACGGCCCAGACUCCUACGGGAGGCAGCAGUAGGGAAUCUUCCGCAAUGGACGAAAGUCUGACGGAGCAACGCCGCGUGAGUGAUGAAGGUUUUCGGAUCGUAAAACUCUGUUGUUAGGGAAGAACAAGUACCGUUCGAAUAGGGCGGUACCUUGACGGUACCUAACCAGAAAGCCACGGCUAACUACGUGCCAGCAGCCGCGGUAAUACGUAGGUGGCAAGCGUUGUCCGGAAUUAUUGGGCGUAAAGCGCGCGCAGGCGGUUUCUUAAGUCUGAUGUGAAAGCCCCCGGCUCAACCGGGGAGGGUCAUUGGAAACUGGGGAACUUGAGUGCAGAAGAGGAGAGUGGAAUUCCACGUGUAGCGGUGAAAUGCGUAGAGAUGUGGAGGAACACCAGUGGCGAAAGCGACUCUCUGGUCUGUAACUGACGCUGAGGCGCGAAAGCGUGGGGAGCGAACAGGAUUAGAUACCCUGGUAGUCCACGCC
RNAcentral lists this ribosomal RNA (764 nucleotides) under Bacillus sonorensis. Its description in RNAcentral is "bacterial SSU rRNA". It matches the Rfam family "Bacterial small subunit ribosomal RNA", at positions 55 to 801 of the family's 1533-position model. The record is from RNAcentral. Lineage: Bacteria; Bacillati; Bacillota; Bacilli; Caryophanales; Bacillaceae.